This 492-nucleotide ribosomal RNA is filed under the name uncultured bacterium. Its description in RNAcentral is "partial 16S ribosomal RNA". It matches the Rfam family "Bacterial small subunit ribosomal RNA", at positions 29 to 507 of the family's 1533-position model. The record is from RNAcentral.
AGUGAACGCUGGCGGUAGGCCUAACACAUGCAAGUCGAACGGCAGCACAGUAAGAGCUUGCUCUUACGGGUGGCGAGUGGCGGACGGGUGAGGAAUACAUCGGAAUCUACUUUUUCGUGGGGGAUAACGUAGGGAAACUUACGCUAAUACCGCAUACGACCUACGGGUGAAAGCAGGGGAUCUUCGGACCUUGCGCGAUUGAAUGAGCCGAUGUCGGAUUAGCUAGUUGGCGGGGUAAAGGCCCACCAAGGCGACGAUCCGUAGCUGGUCUGAGAGGAUGAUCAGCCACACUGGAACUGAGACACGGUCCAGACUCCUACGGGAGGCAGCAGUGGGGUAUAUUGGACAAUGGGCGCAAGCCUGAUCCAGCCAUACCGCGUGGGUGAAGAAGGCCUUCGGGUUGUAAAGCCCUUUUGCUGGGAAAGAAAAGCAGCAGGUUAAUACCCCGCUGUUCUGACGGUACCCAAAGAAUAAGCACCGGCUAACUUCGUG